Molecule: long non-coding RNA, 255 nt
Filed under: Nicotiana benthamiana
Lineage: Eukaryota; Viridiplantae; Streptophyta; Magnoliopsida; Solanales; Solanaceae
Description: long non-coding RNA (NBEN_LNC001440)
Source: RNAcentral
AAAAAACCGAGAAACGAUGUCGGAAAGUUACCCAAACAUCCACAAGAUGAGAAUCGGACCACUGGAAUGCGGUAAAACACUAAAACAAAGUCACCAAAAACCCUAAUCACCGACAACUCACCAAAACCACCACAAAAGCGAUCAAAAUGUUGUUAAACGCCGAGGUUGAGAAGAUACACUCGGAUAUAAUGGUAGAAAACCCUUUGAGCCAUAUCCGAUGAAGAUCGGAAUCAUCACAGACCGUCUGGUCUCAGA